Gavia stellata (red-throated loon) is the source of this 802-nucleotide long non-coding RNA. RefSeq lists it as uncharacterized. NCBI's taxonomy places the organism in Eukaryota, Metazoa, Chordata, Aves, Gaviiformes, Gaviidae. The record is from RefSeq and is a predicted model, not a curated record. The transcript has 3 exons.
ACACCUCCGGGGGAGGCAGGGGGAGAUGCUGCCGGGGAUGCGGGAGGAGGCGGCGGUCGGGCCGGGCCCCCCCCGGGGCGGAGGAGAUAAGGAGAUUUAACUAACAGAUUCCCCAGGCUGAACCCCUCCGCUGGGCUGAAUUUAGCAGCAGAAGAGAUAACCGGGAGAUAAGGACUGAUACCCGGGAGGACAGCGGGAGAGCGGCAGGCGGCCCAGGGAAGGGGGAGAAGCCGGAGGCAGCGUUGGGAAGGGCUGCGUAUCCAGAUGUGCCGGGUUUCGGACACGCAUCUCCCUCUCCACGCCUUGCAAAAUCUCGGGGGGGUUUCUCUCCCAAAUCAGCGCUUUGCUGAAGCUUCGUUGAAUUCCUACUAUCAGCGCUGUCUUGCAAAAAACAAGCCAAAAUCCAAUUAAACCCGAUUAAAACCGCCCCCAGCAGCUCUACCAGGAGCGGAGACGAUUUCAAGGAUCUGCCUUGGCUUUGCCUCUUCCAGGAAAAAAAAAAAAACACACAUAAAAAAAAUAUCCCGCAGUCGGUUUUGCGUGUGCGUCCUCUUCCAGCGGGGAAAUCUCGGUCCUUAGUGCGGAGCAUCGCGUCGCGGGGAGGGCGAGGGGGUGCGCACCCCGAAAAAAAGCAAUGCUGUCAGGAGCUGAGCCGAACCCCAGCCUGGUGCAAACUGACAGCCCGGGAAGGGGGGGUGAGGAAGGAUUUCGGACACUUUUUUAUCCCGAAAAAGCAGAAGAUGGGAUAUAGCACAAGGCAAAAAAAAUAAAAAUAAAAAUAAAUCCCUGCUCUGCACUCGGA